UGGGGAAUCUUGCGCAAUGGGCGAAAGCCUGACGCAGCCAUGCCGCGUGAAUGAUGAAGGUCUUAGGAUUGUAAAAUUCUUUCACCGGGGACGAUAAUGACGGUACCCGGAGAAGAAGCCCCGGCUAACUUCGUGCCAACAGCCGCGGUAAUACGAAGGGGGCUAGCGUUGCUCGGAAUUACUGGGCGUAAAGGGAGCGUAGGCGGAUAGUUUAGUCAGAGGUGAAAGCCCAGGGCUCAACCUUGGAAUUGCCUUUGAUACUGGCUAUCUUGAGUAUGGAAGAGGUAUGUGGAACUCCGAGUGUAGAGGUGAAAUUCGUAGAUAUUCGGAAGAACACCAGUGGCGAAGGCGACAUACUGGUCCAUUACUGACGCUGAGGCUCGAAAGCGUGGGGAGCAAACAGGAUUAGAUACCCAAGUAGUCCCUGAGCGGGCUGGCAAGGCGCAU
Molecule: ribosomal RNA, 447 nt
Filed under: uncultured bacterium
Lineage: Bacteria
Description: bacterial SSU rRNA
Rfam family: Bacterial small subunit ribosomal RNA
Source: RNAcentral